CCUACGGGUGGCAGCAGUGAGGAAUAUUGGUCAAUGGCCGAGAGGCUGAACCAGCCAAGUCGCGUGAGGGAAGACGGCCCUACGGGUUGUAAACCUCUUUUGUCGGGGAGCAAAGCGAGUCACGUGUGACUCAUUGAGAGUACCCGAAGAAAAAGCAUCGGCUAACUCCGUGCCAGCAGCCGCGGUAAUACGGAGGAUGCGAGCGUUAUCCGGAUUUACUGGGCGUAAAGGGUGUGCAGGCGGUUUUGCAAGAUGGAUGUGAAAGCCCCGGGCUUAACCUGGGAAAGCCAUACAUGACUGCAAGACUAGAGUGCGUCAGAGGGGGGUGGAAUUCCAAGUGUAGCAGUGAAAUGCGUAGAUAUUUGGAAGAACACCGAUGGCGAAGGCAGCCCCCUGGGACGCAACUGACGCUCAUACACGAAAGCGUGGGGAGCAAACAGGAUUAGAUACCCGUGUAGUC
This 460-nucleotide ribosomal RNA is filed under the name uncultured bacterium. Its description in RNAcentral is "partial 16S ribosomal RNA". It matches the Rfam family "Bacterial small subunit ribosomal RNA", at positions 338 to 795 of the family's 1533-position model. The record is from RNAcentral.